Molecule: ribosomal RNA, 1377 nt
Filed under: Salmonella enterica
Lineage: Bacteria; Pseudomonadati; Pseudomonadota; Gammaproteobacteria; Enterobacterales; Enterobacteriaceae
Description: partial 23S ribosomal RNA
Rfam family: Bacterial large subunit ribosomal RNA
Source: RNAcentral
GACUCGUCACACUAUCAUUAACUGAAUCCAUAGGUUAAUGAGGCGAACCGGGGGAACUGAAACAUCUAAGUACCCCGAGGAAAAGAAAUCAACCGAGAUUCCCCCAGUAGCGGCGAGCGAACGGGGAGGAGCCCAGAGCCUGAAUCAGCAUGUGUGUUAGUGGAAGCGUCUGGAAAGGCGCGCGAUACAGGGUGACAGCCCCGUACACAAAAGCGCAUGUGCUGUGAGCUCGAUGAGUAGGGCGGGACACGUGGUAUCCUGUCUGAAUAUGGGGGGACCAUCCUCCAAGGCUAAAUACUCCUGACUGACCGAUAGUGAACCAGUACCGUGAGGGAAAGGCGAAAAGAACCCCGGCGAGGGGAGUGAAAAAGAACCUGAAACCGUGUACGUACAAGCAGUGGGAGCACCCUUUGGGGUGUGACUGCGUACCUUUUGUAUAAUGGGUCAGCGACUUAUAUUCUGUAGCAAGGUUAACCGAAUAGGGGAGCCGGAGGGAAACCGAGUCUUAAUUGGGCGUUAAGUUGCAGGGUAUAGACCCGAAACCCGGUGAUCUAGCCAUGGGCAGGUUGAAGGUUGGGUAACACUAACUGGAGGACCGAACCGACUAAUGUUGAAAAAUUAGCGGAUGACCUGUGGCUGGGGGUGAAAGGCCAAUCAAACCGGGAGAUAGCUGGUUCUCCCCGAAAGCUAUUUAGGUAGCGCCUCGUGAAUUCAUCUCCGGGGGUAGAGCACUGUUUCGGCUAGGGGGCCAUCCCGGCUUACCAACCCGAUGCAAACUGCGAAUACCGGAGAAUGUUAUCACGGGAGACACACGGCGGGUGCUAACGUCCGUCGUGAAGAGGGAAACAACCCAGACCGCCAGCUAAGGUCCCAAAGUCAUGGUUAAGUGGGAAACGAUGUGGGAAGGCCCAGACAGCCAGGAUGUUGGCUUAGAAGCAGCCAUCAUUUAAAGAAAGCGUAAUAGCUCACUGGUCGAGUCGGCCUGCGCGGAAGAUGUAACGGGGCUAAACCAUGCACCGAAGCUGCGGCAGCGACACUCAGGUGUUGUUGGGUAGGGGAGCGUUCUGUAAGCCUGCGAAGGUGGCCUGUGAGGGUUGCUGGAGGUAUCAGAAGUGCGAAUGCUGACAUAAGUAACGAUAAAGCGGGUGAAAAGCCCGCUCGCCGGAAGACCAAGGGUUCCUGUCCAACGUUAAUCGGGGCAGGGUGAGUCGACCCCUAAGGCGAGGCCGAAAGGCGUAGUCGAUGGGAAACGGGUUAAUAUUCCCGUACUUGGUGUUACUGCGAAGGGGGGACGGAGAAGGCUAUGUUGGCCGGGCGACGGUUGUCCCGGUUUAAGCGUGUAGGUGUGUGUUCCAGGUAAAUCCGGUUCACUUUAAC